UACGUAGGUGGCAAGCGUUAUCCGGAUUUACUGGGUGUAAAGGGCGUGUAGGCGGGAAAGCAAGUCAGAUGUGAAAACCACGGGCUCAACCCGUGGCCUGCAUUUGAAACUGUUUUUCUUGAGUACUGGAGAGGCAGACGGAAUUCCUAGUGUAGCAGUGAAAUGCGUAGAUAUUAGGAGGAACACCAGUGGCGAAGGCGGCCUGCUGGACUGUGACUGACGUUGAGGCCCGAAGGCGUGGGGAGCAAACAGG
This 253-nucleotide ribosomal RNA is filed under the name uncultured bacterium. RNAcentral describes it as "partial 16S ribosomal RNA". It matches the Rfam family "Bacterial small subunit ribosomal RNA", at positions 524 to 776 of the family's 1533-position model. The record is from RNAcentral.